This 429-nucleotide ribosomal RNA is filed under the name uncultured bacterium. Its description in RNAcentral is "bacterial SSU rRNA". It matches the Rfam family "Bacterial small subunit ribosomal RNA", at positions 917 to 1344 of the family's 1533-position model. The record is from RNAcentral.
GGACCCGCACAAGUAGUGGAGCAUGUGGUUUAAUUCGAAGAUACGCGCAGAACCUUACCAACACUUGACAUGUUCGUCGCGACUCUAAGAGAUUAAAGUUUUCGGUUCGGCCGGACGAAACACAGGUGCUGCAUGGCUGUCGUCAGCUCGUGUCGUGAGAUGUUGGGUUAAGUCCCGCAACGAGCGCAACCCUCACUUUUAGUUGCCAUCAUUAAGUUGGGCACUCUGAAAGAACUGCCAGUGAUAAGCUGGAGGAAGGUGGGGAUGACGUCAAGUCCUCAUGGCCCUUACGUGUUGGGCUACACACGUGCUACAAUGGUAUCUACAACAGGAAGCAAGACGGCGACGUUAAGCAAAUCCUUAAAAGAUACCUCAGUUCGGAUUGCACUCUGCAACUCGCCUACGUGAAGGAGGAAUCGCUAGUAAUCG